This is a long non-coding RNA of Myotis brandtii (Brandt's bat), 857 nucleotides long. RefSeq lists it as uncharacterized. The transcript has 3 exons. Lineage: Eukaryota; Metazoa; Chordata; Mammalia; Chiroptera; Vespertilionidae. The record is from RefSeq and is a predicted model, not a curated record.
CGGGCUCGGCGCGUCCCGGUGGGCUCGCCGGGGAGGCUGAAUGCCUUCUGCUUCCUCAUUGGGAGGAGCCAUGGUGACCCUGGGCCCCCGCGCCGGUGUCCGGGAUGGUUGGUCCUCCUCGUCAGCCGGCUACCUCGUUCGUGACCCCACCUCUUUUCCCUUUAUUUUCUUCGGUUGAGCAGCCCUCCUUUGCCUUUACACCUCCCAGAGUUGUUUCUGGUUAGGCCAGUGCUGCUGACUUUUGGGACGUUACAGAUGAAGUCUGAAUGAAUGUUAGAGGUGCCCUCCUCAUGCCACUUGGGUAUCAACAUUCUAUGUCAGGCCUCCCUCUCCCCUCCUCACUCCAGUAUUGGAUGACUUCUUCACCCUGUUCAGGCUCUGACAUAACAACCAUGCAGUGCUACUCCUCCACAGGAAUGCUACCCCUCCAAGCUCUGCUUGGGCUCUGACACCUCAUCAGGACCAGAGCCUGCAAAGUCUAAGAUCAAGAUAUUAGCCUAUCCAUUUCCUGCUCAGUGCUUUCAUUCUGGCUUUCAGACUAUGGCCUUCUCACUAUGCCCUUACAAGGUGAAGACAGAGCAAGCUCUCUGGUGUUUUUGUGUUGUUGUUUUUUUCUAUAAUGCCACUAAUAGUUUUCAUCAUGAGGACUCCACACUCAUGACUUCAUAGGAUCCUUAUUACCUCCAAAAGGCCUCAUCUUCAAAUACCAUCAAAUUAGGGGUUAGGGCUUCAACAUAAGAAUCUUGGGGUUUGGGGAACACAGACAUUCAGUCCAUAACAAUAAUACGUGUAAGUGCAUAUCAUAGAGUUUGGCAUAAAGUUGGUAUUCAGUGAAUAUUAGAGCCCUUUCUCUUCUC